This is a long non-coding RNA of Astatotilapia calliptera (eastern happy), 4126 nucleotides long. NCBI's taxonomy places the organism in Eukaryota, Metazoa, Chordata, Actinopteri, Cichliformes, Cichlidae. The record is from Ensembl.
GAAAAACUCCCUUAUAAACAACUGAAUCAGGUGCUGAGCCUGUGAUAUACUGAAUGAAGGUUCAGACGUCACUCAUCAUGUGGCUCUCGCCAAACGAACCAAGCCUCGACACAGUGCUUCUGAAGGAGUGUGUUAUUUUUUUGGACACAUGCGCUUCAACUUCAAAUGGACCAUCACUGCUGUAAACCCAAAAUGUCUGCUGAUUCUUCUUAUUUACACCCUUCUUUGACACUUGAGCCAGACUACUUCCCACACAAGGAGAGAAAAGAGUGUGAGAGAACUUUACUCAGAGAUAGAGAAAGAUGUAACAAAAGAAAGGACAGGAAAGGAAGCCGAGAGCUUAGAUUUAAACGUAAGGAGUGCUCAUUCAUGCUUGAUAAACUGCAGACUUAAAGAUUACAUGUCAUGUUGUCAUUUGUAAUCAUAUACUGGAUCUGUAUGUGACAUGUGUUUAACCCUAAAAGAUCGUUGGGUUUCCCCACCUGUGAAUCGCACUUUAACCCUGGACUAUACUAGUUUUGUGAUUAGACGUGGAGGUUUAAAUCAGACAACAGAAUCUUUUUGUUUCUUUUACUGCUUGGUUCCUACAUAACAGCUUCACUCUGACCACUUUCAUUAGAAGUACAAUCCAGAUUUAAAUAACAUUUGUAUUCUUGUAUACUAAAAUUGUUUUGUUUUUAUAUUAAUAUAGCACAAGUUUCACAUACAUGUGCUUAAAAACAAAUGGUAAAAAUACUUUUAAGGAGCUACUUUUUUUUUACUUGGAGUACAUUUCAGAGGCUGUUUUUUUCACUUUCACUUUUACUUAAGUUGACACAUGUAUCUCUAUCUCUAAAGUUUUAACUUUUUAAAGUUAAAGAAAAAAUCUGCACAUAAGCGGCUUCUGUGGGGACCCCUUUCCCUUCUUGAGACAUAUCUCUCUCUUUUGAUUUUCUUUUUUCUCUUUUGAAUUUGAUUUAAAACAGGAACUAUAUUUUCCUCAUAAUGGUGGCCAGUAAUGAACUGUUCAUGUUCCACCUUCAAUAAAAAUCAAAUGAGCUCACCUUAGGCACAUCUAGGCAACAUUGGGGAGGGAGCUGCUGCUGCUUCGCUCACUCUGACUGUAUCUGAAAUUAAUAGCCAUACAUCUAUUUGGAUAGACAUAGUGUCACAGCUAUCACUGGCUUGCUGUCUUUAACAGCUGCCGAUAGCUAAACUAUUCUUAAUCUGUUAAUUGUAUUCUGUUCACUUUUCUUUUGAAAAAAAAAUAUUAUACCUGACUGCUCCCAGUUUGCUUUUUUGUUGGUCAUUUUCAUAUCUAUAAUUUGCCUGAGAACUUGCCUUGAUUGGCAGCUGUAGCCAAUCAAAAUUACUCUAAGAGUGCAUUGAUGAUUUAUCUACAAGGUCACAAAAGAAUCUAGAACAACAUCUAAAGAAUAGCAGGUGUCACAUUUCUUACUGAAGGUCAGGGUUAAUGAUUAAACAACAACAAGGAGAUCAAAUAACCAUCCUCUGUCCUUUUGAACAAUACUUUUUAAAAACACUAACUGGAAAUGCUCUUGGCUUUUACAUAGAAAGUUCCUUCUGAUCAAACCAGUACUGGAGGUGACAUUUUUGUUAUUAUUAUUAUCUUUUUUAUUAUUAUUAAUAAUAACUGUUAUCCUGUGUAUAUAUAUAUAUAUAUAUUCUUGAACCAAAAAUACAAACUGGAAUUGGAUGAUUUUUGCACUGUGUGCAUUACAUAAUGAAACAGUGAUUCAUCUUUUGAGGAACUGCACCCACAAAAAAAUCUCCUGGACUGAUAGGAUGACCUUUGUUCAUGAAAAUGUAUUGCCAUGUCAGUGCAAUGCAGUGUGCAUUUUCCCCCGUUAUGGAAAAUGUGUCAUUCAUACGAUGGCGUUUUCACAACAAGGACUAACGUUUAGCGUAUUUUUAGUCUUUAUACAAAUAGCAUGAAAGUUAGAUGUAAUCUCAAAGGAAAGGUAUCUCUGGCAUUGCUUGUGCUCUUGGUUUAUGUUAAAUUGGGUAAACUGUCUACAUGAAUUAAGAGAUUCUAAAUUCCUGUUUCAAUUGAUUCUCACUUCCUGAUUUUUUUUUAACGUAAUUUAAAUUUUUGACUUUCUUUGCAGUUUCUCUGUAGGGAACACCUACAUUUUUAAAUAUUAUAAAGGUCUGUCUCUCUUCAAUUGUUAAUUGUACAAAUUUGUCCUUUAAAAAGAUGCUGAUGAACCUGAAAAAAAAUAAUUCUAACAGUCCAGGACAUUCUUGUUUGGGUGCAAUUCCUGAAAGAUGAAUCACUGUUUCAUAAUGAAUUUUAUAAAGCGAAUCUACGAUAAGAUAAGAUAAAAAAAAAUCUGAGGGUGAUCCGAGCAAGCAGGAGGACAGGCAGGUUGCAGACGCGAAUGCUGGAUCGUAACCACUGAGGGGUGAUUGACGGACAGGCGUGGAGCAUCCGUCAGCGCAGGGUUAAACGGUCCUCCAGGUAAUUGUCCAGAAUGGAAAGCAGGUGUGCAGGGCAUCACACACACUCCUCAGACACAGGGCCACGGACCAUGACAGUUCAAUUACAGUUCAAUUACAUUUUUUUAGCUGAGUCUACAUAAAAUGCCACAGAUGGGAUACAGUUUGAGAUGCAUCAAAUAAUAUGACUCAGCUGGGUCUUAGCUGAAGACUUGGCAUAUCUUAUGGUGUGCAGUUUGUCCUUAAAUAUUAAAAUAUGACACAACGCCAUUAUUUAACACGUGCUGUUUGCUGAAGCUUCACAAGAAAUGGUUUAAUGGAAGUAUGGCAGUCAAGAAGAUAAACAUAAGGUAAACAGGGAGGGAAAAAAAGUUAUUCCGAAUUACCAACAGUAUCCAAUACCAUCUAGAAAUUAAGAUUGGCAACAACUUAAUUUUUCAACAUGUUGUUGAUCCCAAACUGAGCACAUUAAAAAAAUGCAUUCCACUACUAAAGCAAAAGCAAAUCAAUGACUCCCCAAAUCGGUUGCUCACAAAUUACAUGGAAGAACUGGUCACAGCUGUUUCCUGAUCCACAGCUUGAAGGGAAAAAAGGUAUACAACAAAAUUCUAGUGUUUGUCACAGAAGAUGGUACUUGUCUCCUGAAGCGAACAAUAAUUAUAUGUUAAUAAAGAAAGAUUAAUAUACAUGAAGAUAACAACAAAUAAAAGUGAAAAUAGUUGCAGUGCAAUAGAAACACUUUAUGUUACUAAAGUGAUUUAAUAAUAAAGAAUAACUUUAAAAUUAAUCCUAGAAACAAUAAUGUGAUUCUUUGUCGGAGUUGUGUCUCUGUGUUCAGUCUGUGGAUUUCCUGUUUUAUUUUGAAGGUUCAUGUCUUAUGUCAGUGUUUCCAGUUUCGCUUCCUGUCUCAUUAGGUCUAAUUUCUCCAGGCUGUGUUCCCACCUCUUCCUCAUUCCCUCAUGAUCUUGCCUGUGUCUUUAUAGUGUGUGUCCUCCAGUGUUCAGCGUUGCGUUUUACCCUUAAUGAGCUGUGUGUUUUGCUUCCGUGGUCCCUCGUUUUCAGGUUUUUCUAAUGUUUUAUUAGCCUCAUGUUUUCAGUUUAGGUUUGUUCUUGUGAGUUUAUGUUUGGAGUUUCUGCCACAGCACAAUAAAGCUGCCUCUCUUUGUUCACUGUGAGUCCAGUGUUUGGGUCCUCUUCUCCUGUCUGCGCACAGCACACCAUGACAGCAGCACUAUCAGUCACCGAUUUACCUCUUCAGUGCUUGUAUCUGAAAGUUGUUUAAGCAGCGCAGGAUCAUCUUGAGAAAUCCCUGUGAAAAAUAAGGCUAGACUAGUAUUUAAAAGCACCUGCCUUGAAGGUUUUUAGAUUUUUCGGACGUUCGUGAUGAAACUAUUGACAUUAGUGUCAAACAAUGUUUAUUAAUUCCAACAAAAGAUAUAUGAACCCCCGAUUUUUCCUCUCAAAUAAAAGAUGGUCAGGAUGCAAGGGCAGUGGGACAUGUUUUUUCUGCUAUGUGGAAAAUAAAGUGUUAGUAAUGUAAUGUCAAAUGUGCAAAUUAAAGUCCUCAAAAAACAAUUCAACCUAGGGAAAUAUUAGACACACGAGCAGCACAUAAUUCAUAUUUUGGACUAAGAGGAAUCUUUGGUAAGGAUUUGUUCAAUUCAUUUCAAUUUUAUUUAUAUGUCAC